CCCUUAGAUGUUCUGGGCCGCACGCGUGCUACACUGAGUGGAUCAGCGGGUCAGGUUACGCGAGAGCGUUUCCUAAUCUUCAAAUCCGCUCGUGAUGGGGAUUGACGGUUGCAAUUUUCCGUCAUGAACGAGGAAUACCUUGUAAGCGCGGGUCAUCAUCCCGCGCUGAAUACGUCCCUGCCCUUUGUACACACCGCCCGUCGCUCCUACCGAUUGAGUGGUCCGGUGAGGCUUUGGGAUCUAAGCGAAAAGAGCGUUUCGCUCCUUUUGCUGGGAGAACCCAGUCGAACCUUAUCAUUUAGAGGAAGGAGAAGUCGUAACA
RNAcentral lists this ribosomal RNA (322 nucleotides) under uncultured eukaryote. Its description in RNAcentral is "partial 18S ribosomal RNA". It matches the Rfam family "Eukaryotic small subunit ribosomal RNA", at positions 1470 to 1796 of the family's 1831-position model. The record is from RNAcentral.